GGUGUGUUCUGACAAGUUGGCGCGGUAUAGUCACAAUCGGGUAUUUCGGGCUGAACCGGGUUCGGGGCCGAAAUAUAAUUUUGGGAUAAAUUAUUGGCAUUUUAUUUAUGUGUGAAUAAUCUGAAAUUAUUUAAAUAUGUGUUAUAUAUGAAAUGAAUUCAAUGCCCUUGAUUGUUUGAGUAUGUGAGAAAUGGCCCUAGGGGCAAAAUGGUAAAUUGUAUUUUUGGAUUUAUUUUCAACUAAAGGCAUUAUUUGUAAAAAAAUGAAAUUCAUUUUCUGCAUUUACCUUAACCCUAAAACAGCCCCCUUCCCUCUCUCUCUCUAUCUCUCUUUGUAUUUGGUUGAAAAAUUGGUGAUUUGCUUGGUAUACAAGCUUGAAAUUGAAGAAUUGUUUGAGGAGUUGUGGCUUGAUCAUUGCAUUGAAGCUUGAGGAUUACCGGCACUUGGUCAGGAGCACCCGGGGAUUUGGAAUCUCCAUAUUUGUGGGACAUCAGGAAAGGGUAAAUCUAUCUCUGAUCAGCCAUGAGUAUGGGAGUUGGGCGAUGUAUGUACAUGUUCGGGCCACACUAGACCAAGCGGGUUAGGGUCUACCUGCGUUGAAACUUUUGUAACUCUAUUUUUGCCGCUUAGGUCGGCUAAGGAGAAAAGACUUGUAAUAUUUUAUAAAAUGAUUUUUUUGGGAUCCCGAAACAUGUAACUUUUGUUUGUAAGGUUAAAAUUAUUACAAGUUUAUUUUCAUUCCGUUUUCGUUUAAAGUUUUAA
Molecule: long non-coding RNA, 762 nt
Organism: Cannabis sativa
Lineage: Eukaryota; Viridiplantae; Streptophyta; Magnoliopsida; Rosales; Cannabaceae
Exons: 3
Source: RefSeq, a predicted model, not a curated record